This 93-nucleotide microRNA precursor is filed under the name Marmota monax (woodchuck). The record is from RNAcentral. Lineage: Eukaryota; Metazoa; Chordata; Mammalia; Rodentia; Sciuridae.
AAGGCAACUGCUGGGUGGUUGCAUGUUAUUUUAUAAGAAACUGUCAAGCUAUUUUUUAGACUGGUUGUAUUAUUUUACACUCCCACCAGCAAU